GUCUUCAUCACGGCGCAAUGGGCCAGUGCGUCUGGCUGUUAACCAGAAGGUUAGUGGUUCAAGCCCACCUAGGGAUG
Podarcis lilfordi (Lilford's wall lizard) is the source of this 77-nucleotide non-coding RNA. NCBI's taxonomy places the organism in Eukaryota, Metazoa, Chordata, Lepidosauria, Squamata, Lacertidae. The record is from the annotation of a GenBank genome assembly.